Rattus norvegicus (Norway rat) is the source of this 10281-nucleotide non-coding RNA. NCBI's taxonomy places the organism in Eukaryota, Metazoa, Chordata, Mammalia, Rodentia, Muridae. The record is from RefSeq and is a predicted model, not a curated record.
UCCCCAGCUCCGAAAAAAAAAAAAAAAAAAAAAAAAAAAAAAGCUGUAGAUGGGCACAGAUGUGCUCCGGGACCCGAACCUCACAUCCGCAGUGGCUGCUUAUCACAGGGAAUGUAAUUCUCAAGCACUUUUCGAAACUACACCCUCCCCUAUCCCAAUCCCCUGCCCAUCAUGUAACCAUUGGCAACGGGCUGCUCCGUUACCCUUCCAUAGUGUGGUCCUUUGUCACGCCGUGUGUGCCCGCAGUUAGUGAGGUUGUAAUACUCAGAGUUAUUUGAACAAGCAAUGCUUAGACAUUCACACGACCCAAAGCAGGAGUGCGGGAGGCUGAGCAGCGUCUCUCUCGCCACCGCCACCGCAGCUCUGAGUCUGCUUUUAUUUCUCCCGUGUCCUCCCCUGAUUUGAAUAUGCAGAAACAAACAAUUCGCCGAUGAGCCCUUAUUUUCUCUCUACUCAAAGAGGCCAUUGAUGUCUGGCAAUUUUAUUUUCCCCCCACACAGCAGAGUCUCUGGGAGAAUGUGCCACAUUAUGUAUAUUGAACUGGCUCUCUCCCUGGGUUGUUGAUAAUGUUUUGUUAUUAAGAACACAGCUGCAAACAGAACCCGUGCAAGCUUGUGGUUUGCCGCGUGUGUGCAGACUUCUUGGCACAGAGGUACUCAGGAGGGAGCAGUGCCGGGCCCUUCAAUUGCUUUGCCAGCUCUUUCUUACCUAAUCACCUCUCCAAGCUCUGGACCCUCCCUGAAGUUCUGGAAGAGCCGAGGUUUCCAGAUCUUUCUGAGCAGUGUCUUGGUAACUCAGCACCGUUUGAAUUUUGGCAUCUCCUUCCAAUGUGAGCUGAUGCUUCGUCCAUGCUGGGCGCUAAAGCCUUUCUUUGUGGCUUCCUGCUUUUUAUCCCCCACUGCUUUUGCUGAAAGCUCGAUUUCAUUUUUCAUUAAUUUUUAGGAGACCUUUAUUGUAGAAAAUAUUGUUGAUAGAGGGAUGGAGAGACUUUCCUGCCAUUCACAUUAUGUGGCACUGGCUGGCCUGGAACUCUAAGUAGACCAGGCUGGCCUAGAGGAUUGGAAAUAUUCCUACCCCCUCUCUUUUCUCACUAUGUAGUCCUGGCUGGCUUGAAAUUCAAACUAGAUCAGGCUGGUCUUGAACUCACAGAGAUCUACCUGCCUCUGCCUCCCGAAUGCCGCCAUUAAAGACUCGAGCCAUUACACCCAGCUUGGUCUUUACAUUCUACAGCAUAACCAAAUUUAUCCAUUUCUACUUUUUUAGCAAAUUAAAACACGAUUCACUUACUUUUAUGUGUAUAAGUGUUUGCAGGCAUGUAUGUGUGUGUGUCACAUUUGCACAGUGACCUCAGAGGCCAGAAGAGGGAACUGGAUGCUUCAGAAUUGGGGUAAUAGGUGGUUGUGAGCACCCAUCCACAUGUGUGCUGGAAACUGAAUUCAGGUCCACUGCAAGAGCAGUAAGUGCGUUGUUUAUCCGCGAGCCAUCUCUUUAGCCCUUGGAUUUAUCAAUCUUAAAAAAACCGAGAAUGAUAUCGAACUAAAAAUUGACAUCAAACCUGAAAAUUUUUUAAAAUUUCUGGAUUAUGAGGCAGAAGUAGUGAGGUGAUUUCCCCUUUCACGGUGAUAGUGACAUUUGUCUACUAGCUUGGCAACUAAGGCUUUUAGUACUGAGGCUUUUUGUCACCGAGGUAAUCCCCCUGCAAGCAUCGAGGCAUCCUUCUGUGUGGUUUUUAUUACCUUUGCUCUACAUAAAUCAUAACACUGGCGCUGAAGAUGCUCCCAAGUCUGAGAUGCCCCCUUGGCUCUUCUCUUAAUUCUUUUUUCUGUCGCUCUGGCAAACACCCUAACAAAAGCAACGUAAGCGGGGUUGGGGAUUUAGCUCAGUGGUAGAGCGCUUGCCUAGUAAGCGCAAGGCCCUGGGUUCGGUCCCCAGCUCCGAAAAAAAGAAAAAAAAAAGCAUCAUAAGAGUUUGUUCUGGCUCAUGGUUUGAGGACGCACAGUCCGUCAUAGCAGAAGGCACGACAGCAGGAGCAUGAGGCUGGUCACGUGGCACCCAUGAUCAGGAAGGAGAGAGAGAGAGAGAGAGAGAGAGAGAGAGAGAGAGAGAGAGAGAGAGAGAGAGACUGAGAACUGAGACUCAGUUCACUUCCUCCUUGAGAGAGAGACUCAGCUCACUUCCUCCUUUUUACUGGGUCCAGGAUCCUAUCCCGUGGGACGGUGCGGCCCUCUUAUGGGGAGUGUCUUCCAAUUUCAAUGAACCUUAUCAAGAUAGUCCCAAUAAGCUGCACGGGGAAGCCCGUCUCCUAGGUGACUCUGUUGACAAUCAAUGCUAACCCCCGCACCUCUGUCAUAGCCAGAUAGGGCUCUCUUCUGUACUUGUUUUGGGUUCGCCAAGGUGACUUAUCUGUCAGUGCCACAGGUUUUAAUGGCCGUGGCUUUAGAAUGCUCCCCUCUGUCUCUGUCUGGGUUUCCCCAUCUGUGUAGAUCUUCUUUUAUGGCUUCCAAUAAGACUCCGUUAAACUUUGCUGUAUACUUUUAUUUAAAUACCAUUUGGCUCCCAUCACUUUUGACAAAUGGGAUAUUUUCUUCCCUUUAUACUAGCUGUUUAGGGCUAAUACCCAGGAAAUAACUUAAAACAUUUAUCACCAAUCUGUCCGACUUAAUACACUGCCUUAUCUACUUGUGUCAUUAAUUUGUUUUACUGGUUUUUAUUUUUGGAGGGUACGCGGUCAUAUUCAGCAAAAAGAAGCCAUGCUCGCCCACCCCAGAUGUUUAUUACUGAUGCCUUUACUUAUAUAUCUUCGGAGACUACUAAUCCACAGCGGGCAGAAAUGCUACUGUGGAUGCAGUGUCUCUUUGCUGGUUUUGAUGGAAGAAGCAAUUGGCAUUUGGUGCCUUGAGGACCCUAAUUCUUCCUUUCUGUUAGGUGAUAUUUUUAACCCCACUUAUUUAGAAAGAUAGGAUCUCAUCAAAUUUUUACCAACUAUUUUUUCAGUAUGUUUGUGGAACCAUUUGUUUUGUUCUUUUAGCUGAGACACACAUAUAUGUAUUUAUACAUAUGUAUACAGAAAUACAUACAUACACACAUAUAUACAUAUAUACGUACAUAUAUGCAUUUGUACAUAUGUGUACACAUAUACAUACAAACAUGCACACAUGCACAUAUAUAGACAUAUGCAUGCAAACAUAUAUACACAUACAUAUGCAUACAUAUAUGCACAUAUGUAUACAUACACACAUAAACAUAUAUACAUAAAACACACGCUUAUACAUACAUAUUCAUACACAUAUAAUAUAAAUACAUACACACAUAUACACAUAUGCAUACAUACACACAUAUAUAUACACAUACACAUAUACAUACAUAUAUACAUUUAUACAUAUGUAUUAUACAUACUCACAUAUUAUACACGCAUAUAUACAUACAUAUACAUGUAUAUACAUACAUAUACACAUAUAUACAUACAUAAACACAUGCAUAUACACACAUACACACACGAGUCUAGAUUUCACUAUGUAGCCCUGGCUGGCCUGUAACUCACUAUGUAGACAAAGCUUGCCUGGAACUCACAGAGGUCUGUCUGCCUCUGUGCACUUAAGAUUUAAGAAGUGCAUCAGCCACCAUGUCUGACUUGAGAUGUGACUUUUGAAAAUGUUGGUAGACUUUUGAGCAUCAGUCAUCCUAGCCCUUCCGAAGUGAACCCUGUUUGGGUCAAUGCUUGUUGUGGUACUUUUGCUGGGUCCUCUGUGUAACUACUUGUGCCUGUGUUCCAGGGGGAUGUUGUAGACCUCUGUCUGCUUUCAGAUGGUCCGCAGGCUUGGUGUCAAGGGCAGCACUAACCAGAGCCCAGACAAGAGCCACUGUUGGGAGGACCCAUCCCCUACUUUGCAAAGGCCUUGGCGCUGUUGCUAGCACUUCUUCUUUCCUUCCACUUCAGUACAAUGAGUCUGGUGGUCAGAGGCGCUCUCCCAGAGUGUGGAGAUUCAGAGUUAAGAGAGUUCUCACACAAUGGACCAGCUUUAAAAGCAAGGGAGGAGGGACUGUAGAGAUGGCCCAUUGGUUAAGAACACUGGCUGCACUUGUAGAGAACCCGAGUUCAAUUCCUAGCGUCCAUAUAGCAGCUCACGGCCAUCUGUAACUCUUGUUCUAGGAGAUCUGGUACCCUCUUCUGGCUUCCUCUGGUAUCAGGCAUUCACACUGAACACAUACUGGCAGAACACUCACACACAUAAAAUAAAAAAUAAAUCUUAAAAAAAAAUAAAAGGAGGGACUCUCUUUUUCUACUUCCUCUCUUACCCCCUCCUUGUUCUUCUCUCCAGCCCUUCCUGGGAUCAUGGAACCCCAAACCUCAUUCGUGCGUACUCUACCCAGUCUGUACUUUUCUGUGUUGCCUUAGUAACAAAUCUACUUCUUGACUUCGAUUUGGACCUUGCUCUAAGAGGUCUUGAAAUAGCGGGGCCACCAGAGUAAGAAGGAAGGAUUUGAACUGGAAGUAUCUUUUAGAGAAGAGAAUUGACCGGCUGCUCUGUGACCUUUCGAAACCGAGCUGGAAGUUCUCCUGGCUCUGAAGUUCAGAUGCCACACUCAGGCUGUGUCUUCUAGAGAGAGACAACAGGAAGGGCAGGAGGCUCACUGCUCUCAUUGAUGCUCCGCCCCCUUCUCCUCUGGCCGAGCUCAUUGAUGCUCCGCCCCCUUCUCCUCUGGCCGAGCUCAUUGAUGCUCCGCCCCCUUCUCCUCUGGCCGAGCUCAUUGAUGCUCCGCCCCCUUCUCCUCCGGCGGAGCUCUGAGGCUCUAAGUACUACACUACAGGCGCUCCGGGCUUCUCCGUGAGUGACACCCCAUGUUGGACCUUUCUUCAGCAGGACUUAAAGUAACAAUAGAUGCCAGCCAGUCAAGUGUGAUUCCCCCUUUUCAAAUUCUGAGUGCUCCCCAAUGCAGGAGUAGACGUGGGCUUCUGGUCAGGUGUUUAAGUGGGGGACUGCAAGCUGAGAGUUACGUUCCUCUGUGCCUGUGAAUAUCUGGCCAAGCAGGUGACAGCUUUAGACUUUACAGCAGCACAAACCACCUCACUGAUCACUCCCCAGGGCAGCUGAUGGCUCCUGGGACCCAACGCAACUAACCAUCUUACCACCACAUUUCCUUGUCUUCUUAUCCGGUCUGACUCCAUGUUGCUCCCGCCAUGCCUUUCUGCUUAGUGUUUGGUCAAGCCACACUCUCACAGCUUCCACCUUCUCCAGGCUUCUGAGCAGCUGAUCCUUCUUAACAUCCAGGUCUCUUCCCAACCCCCCCUCUUCAACCUUGCCACCACCGCCUCCCUGAGAAUUCUUCUCUCUGGCAACGGCUUUUCCCUAAUGGAAGGGUAGCAGUGAAACACAUUCAUAUUUCACCGGGUAGUUGGCAUGUAUCAGCCAAGCUCCAACUGCCAGGGGACCAUGGCAUUCUGCAAUGAGGCGGCAAGCUCAUUACGAAACGCUGAGAACAGGGACUGAAAAUACUGCUCAGGGGUUAAGUUGUGUACAGCUCUUACCGAGGACUGGAGUUGGGUUCCCAGGGCUCGCACUGGACAACUCCUAACUGCCGGAAACUGCAGCUCCAAGGAAUCGGACACCCUCCCUUCUGAGCUGUGCUGGCACCUGCAUUCAUGUGCAUGCCCACAGACAAGGGCACAUAAUUAAAAAGAGUCUUAGAAAUGCCUGGGUCUGUAUCCCACCAAGGCAUCUGUGACUUCUACUCUUGUGAUGAGCUGAACCGUAAAGUGGCACUUCUUAGUCCUUUUGGGCUUGUGAAGCAAACAUUCUGUGACCCAGGCAGUGUGUUAAGGAUGAUUUUCCAUAGCUCUCAGAGGAUGUAAAGACGUCAAUGUCUGGCGAGGGCUCCUUCCAGGUUCUCCAAUGACAGGAUGCAGCAAGGGAGCACUUCAGAGUCUGUCAGAAGGCAUUAGUGCCAUCCCCAUGACUAGUGUCUUCCCAAAGCCUCACUUUCUGAUCCCUCCCACUGGGGGUGGCUAUUUCAAUCUGCGUCGGGGUGGGGCACAGAGCUCCAGGCCACAGCCUAGAGGUUUCAUGCAGGUUGAUGUUAUAGGUUGAUGGUUUCAGUAUUAGCCACGCUGUCGAUUUUGUUCAACCCGAUGUACAAAUUCGGUGAUUCCAGAAGAAAGUCACAGCAGAGUGUAAAGAAAGUAACGAGCAUUAAAAACAAAACAAAACAAAACAAAACAAAACAAAAACAAAAAACCCCAAAAACCUAGAACUGCGAAAGAAACAGGACAGUUGAGGCAAGUUUGAGGAAAGUCACCAGAGUCCAAGGAAGGUCAUGAAGGGCAAGAUGACUACAAAUUUUAUACCCUGGUGAUCCAGCCCAGACCAGCCUAAGCCUGUCAUGUGGCAUUUGCGGAAGGGUCCCCCAUGAUGUCUCUCUGCCUUGACUGUCUUUGGUACCAUUUGCGCAGCAGUCUCUGGGGCCGGGAGAGGCUGGAGUCUGAUGGGCAAGAUCACGGCCAUGGGGAUGACUGGAGUGUGCUUGGAGCAUCUCAAACGUUUUUUUAAACACAGACCCAGAAACUUUAGAUGGAGUAGCAGCUUUCCUAGAGGUUCACCCCUCAUCCUUAAGCCCAGACACUGCCCUUCCUUUAAUGAUGGUAAAGGACACAUAGCAUAAAGUUCCCAUGUUAACUACUUGCAACAUGGAAUUUGGUGGUCUUAGAGUGGUCACGAUGUAGGGUAGCCAUCAUCACCAUCACCAUCAUCACCAUCACCAUCACCAUCACCAUCAUAAUCAUCACCAUCACCAUCACCAUCAUCAUCACCACCACCAUCAUCAUCAUCAUCAUCAUCAUUAUCAUCAUCAUUGGCUUCCUCAACCUCAUCACCUUGUGUUGGCUGUUCAUUGCUGUAACAAAGUCCCGAGGGAAGCAGCUUAAAAAAAAGGAAGGGUUUACUUCAGCUCAUAGUUUCGGUUCACAGUUGUUUGGGCCUGGUUUUCCAGGCCUGUGGCCAGCAGAGUUAUCUUGGAGAGAACCAGAAGAGACAGUGUCUGCAAUACCAGCAGAGGCCAGAAGAGGGCACUGAAUCCUCCGGAGCUGGAGUUACAGAAGGUUGGGAGUCACCUCAGGCACCUGAGAAGCAGAGACAGGAAGCAGAAGUUCCCACUAUCUCCUUCGAGGGCAUGCUUCUGAUGGCCUGACUUCCUCCUACCACACUUCCACUAGCUUCCCAUAGCACCAUAGGCACUGGCAAUCCUUUGUCACAAGCAACCCUAAGCAGAAACCCAUUCUCCUGUUACCAGCUGCCCCCACUCUGCCUUCUCAGCUGUGUCAACGACACAAACCUAGUCACCUGGGAAGAAGACACCUCCAUUGAGGAACUGCCUCCAUUAGCUUGACCUGGGGGCAUGUGUCUACCAGGCAGUUUUUUUUUUUUUUUAUCUGUUCAGCCAACUGUGGGCGGCACCAUCCCUAGGCCUAGAUGAUUCUGGGCUGUAUAAGAAAGCAGGCAAAAUAAUAUAGUUGCAAGUUGCUUCCACAGUUUCUGUUGUAGCUCCUGCUUGAGUUCAUACCCUGACGCCCUCUGUGAUGAAGUAUGAUCUGGGAGCGUAAGACAAAUAAACCCCUUCUUCCUCAAGUCGUUUUUAGUCAUGCUGUGGAUCUCAAAAUUUGAAAAAGCAAGCCAGAGCACUCUGCAAGCGCGGAUCUGUUUUCUGUUUGCAUGGAUUCCUCUGGACAGCUCAGUUAAACGUGGCCUUCUGCCUAACUUCUCGCUCGGAUCGUGUUUUAAGAGCAGCCCACGUUGUAGCAUGUGGCAGAACCUCAUUUCUCUCUGGAGCUGAGCGUGGACCUCAUUUGCAUAUCCACUUAUCGCUGCCGAGCAUUUGGUGUCUACUCGUUGGCUAUAGUCAAGCAGCCUUUGUGUGUGGUGUGCUUUGAACACCUUUACUGCUUUUCUAUGCCCAGACACAAGUGGGCUUACAGGUCAAGUGCUGACUCUGGAUCAGAUGGGCCUCACAGAAGCUGUCCUAUUCAUGGUCAGCUAUAGUCUCUGUUUCCUCACAGGCUUGCUUUAUUCUGGAACGUUCCUGUUAUUGAGAAUUGGGGGGUCUCUUCUCGGACUUUCUAAGCCCAGCAGAGCGGGAUACCUGAAACAAUGUUCUGAUUCAAGUCGCCAAAACACGGAGUCUUGCAGACCCCACGCAAGGAGUCCCUCGCUAAGGGGUUCCCGUCAGGAUGCCUGUUCUGUCAGGUGUGAAGCCCACAGAGAUGUGUCUUUCCUUUCUAAAUUCGGCAACAGGGCAGCAGGCAGCAUCUCCAGAGGACUCGCCUCUGAUGCCGUGUGGAAUAUGGUUCUGCCUGCUCUUCACCACCUGAGUGGUGCAGAAAACAAGGCUUGGCAGAUAAUCGUCUAAAAGCCCAAGUUAUUCACCAAAAGACAUAUUUAGAGCCCCCUGAGAAUGGUACCCAAUCCCCAUAGCCCAAGCAGCCAGACAUUCCCAUGAUCCUCCUUGCCCUGUCCUGCUCUGAGAAGUGCUAACCUCCUGCUGUCUGAGUGAUUUCUCCCCCUAUCUCAUCCCUGCCGCCCUAAUCCCCCUUUCCCCCCUCCUUUUUUAUGAUUUAAAUUUAUUCUCUUGUGGUUCUAGAAGCCAGAAUGGAAACAUCAGGGUGUUCCCAGGGCUGGCUUCCGGGAGCUUCUGGGAGAACUCUUCCUGUCUUUUCCAGCUGUGAGAGACACCACGAUCUUGCCUAAGGCUAUCCGCAGGUGAGCUGCAGUUGUCUCCCAAAUGCUAAUGUACGUGCGUCCGAAUCCCUGAGAUCUUGUCACGGAGCAGUUACGAUGUGACUUGGUGGAUCUGGUUCUCUGGUACUCUUUCGGGAUGUCAAGUUCCCAGGAUGGUGUGGUCCUGAGAGACAUACUCACCGGUCCUCAUCCUUGGGACCUCUGCAUAGCAGUUCCAGGAAGCCAUUCCCCUCAUGAACUGUUGAAGGGCCCUGGCAGAUGCACGGGAGGUUUUCCAGAUGGCAGAGGUGAUUAAACCCUGAAUUAUCUGCGAGGAGGGGUGGUGGAGUGGUCUGGAGGACAGGUGGACAGCCGUAUUCAGUGCGCUGGGGUGGGUCCUACCUCGUAGGCAUUAUCAGACUGUAAGUUCUUUUGUGGAUCUCCCACUCUUGGCAUUUGGAGGCGAGGGCUCAUGGAGGAGCGGGCAGGAGGCCGUUCUCAGGUGUGGAAAGGCUACUCCAGCAAUCAUGAAGUGUGAAUUAGGACAGAGAAAAAGCUCUUUCCUUGGUUCACCGCUCUCCCCCCCCCCCUUCCCAUGUUUGUUUAGAGGGAGAGAUGGUGGGGGAAAGGAGCAGGGAGACUCCAACAUCCUGUGAUGCACUGAAUGUCAGCCGAUGUCCACAGAAGUCUGGUGACUCGGUAUGCACCCUGCCAUGCAGGAUUUUGGCACUUGGAAACGCAUCUUAUGUGAGCCCAUGCAGCAACUGCAGGGACCAAUGGAGGUCACACUUCUCUCUCCUGUCACGGACUUCAGCUCCCAGGAGCAGCCCAGGAACCACCAGAAGUGCCAGCCCGUCAGGAUGCCGAGCCCUUUCAACAGGCCCGUGAUCGAUGUUCCUGCCUGAGUGGCUGCUUGUGGCUGUCCCCUGUGGCCUAUGUGUAAGGCUCUUGGUGGCUGACACGCAACAAUUUUUUCUCCUGAUUUUCUUUUCAUUUUGAGCACUGGUAUGAACAUGUGGCCCGGUGGUAAGAUGUGGUGACUGGGAGGUGACUAGAAGAGGUGUUGGGGACUUGUGUGCUGACCUGUGGAAAUACUUCCUUCACAUGAUUGAUUACACACUCUCUUAUUGCCUUAGUGUGUGUGUGUGUGUGUGUGUGUGUGUAGGCCAUGCAUCAGUAUGAGGUGUCUUUAUUGCUCUCCACAUUAUUAUUAUUAUUAUUAUUAUUAUUAUUAUUAUCAUCAUCAUUACUAUGACCUUUAAAGGAUUUUAAUCUUUUAUUUUAUCUUAUUUAUUUUGAAAACUUAAAAAAAAUUGCGUAUUGGUGUUCUGCCUGCCUGAGGUCAUCAGAUCACUUGGAGGGGGAGUUACAGUUUUGAGCUGCCAUGGGUUGCUGGGAAUGGACCCCAGGGUCCUCUGGGAGAGCAGCCAGUGCUCUUAACCGUGGAGCUAUCUCUCCAGCCCUUAUUUUAUUAUCUUUAAUUACGCGUACGUAUGUGGGUCUGUGUGCUUACCUGAGUGCUCAGAGCUGGUGUUUCAGGCAGCUGUGUGCCUCCUACGGUGGGUGCCAGGGCGCA